UGGUAGAAAGCUUACCAAGAGCACUGGGCUUUUAACCCAGUGGUCGCGGGUUCGAAUCCCGCACGGCCCA
Molecule: transfer RNA, 70 nt
Rfam family: tRNA (bases 9-62)
About the family: Transfer RNA (tRNA) molecules are approximately 80 nucleotides in length. Their secondary structure includes four short double-helical elements and three loops (D, anti-codon, and T loops). Further hydrogen bonds mediate the characteristic L-shaped molecular structure. tRNAs have two regions of fundamental functional importance: the anti-codon, which is responsible for specific mRNA codon recognition, and the 3' end, to which the tRNAs corresponding amino acid is attached (by aminoacyl-tRNA synthetases). tRNAs cope with the degeneracy of the genetic code in two manners: having more than one tRNA (with a specific anti-codon) for a particular amino acid; and 'wobble' base-pairing, i.e. permitting non-standard base-pairing at the 3rd anti-codon position.